RNAcentral lists this ribosomal RNA (656 nucleotides) under Rhizoctonia solani. Its description in RNAcentral is "eukaryotic LSU rRNA". The stretch from base 221 to 374 matches the Rfam family "5.8S ribosomal RNA". The record is from RNAcentral. Lineage: Eukaryota; Fungi; Basidiomycota; Agaricomycetes; Cantharellales; Ceratobasidiaceae.
CCGUAGGUGAACCUGCGGUAGGUUCAAUAAAGAAUGAAGUAGAGUUGGUUGGAGGUGACCUUCUAGAGUAAGGGCAAGCCUUGUUUUUGAACCACCCACCCCUGGGCCGUUGUGAGACAGGGGCAUUUGUUUUCCUUUAAAUAGGGAAAGGGAAUAAGUUUAAUACAUAAAAUAAAAUUUAUUUAAAACUAAAGGUAAUAGAUGUAACAAAUCUAAUAAUAAGUUUUAACAACGAAGGACUUGUCGGUCGCAUCAAUGAAGAACGCAGCAAAGAGAUGUAAGUAAUGAGAAUUGCAGAAUUCAUUGAAUCAUCGAAGCUUUGAACGCCCCUUGUUGCCCUUGUUGUUCCUCGUAGCAUGCCGGUUUGAGUAUCAUGAAGUAAUCAAAAAAAGUCUUUUGUUAAUUCAAUCGGCUUCGUUUCGUUGUUGGGGGCUUGCAGAUGAACGUCUGCUCCUCUUAAAUACAUUAUCAGGAUCUCCUUGAACUUGGUUCCACUCGUCGUGAUAAGAAUCACUCGCUGAGGACACCCGUAAAAAAGGAGGCCAGGCUGGAGGAUGAGCCGCUGCUAAUAGUCCUUCAGCAUCGUCAAUUAAUUAAUGAUCUGCUGUCAAUCAGGUAGGACUACCCGCUGAACUUAGCAUAUCAUUAGCGGAGGA